CUCAGUACGGCGAGUGAGCGGCAACAGCUCAAAUUUGAAAUCUAUCUCCUUUGGAGGUCGAGUUGUAAUUUGUAGAGGAUGUUUUGGGUACCGCCGCGGUUUAAUUUUCUUGGAACAGGAAGCCAAAGAGGGUGAGAGUCCCGUCUUGGACCGCGGUAGGGCUCGUGUAAAACUCCUUCGACGAGUCGAGUUGUUUGGGAAUGCAGCUCAAAUUGGGUGGUAAAUUCCAUCUAAAGCUAAAUAUUGGCGAGAGACCGAUAGCAAACAAGUACCGUGAGGGAAAGAUGAAAAGCACUUUGGAAAGAGAGUUAACAGUACGUGAAAUUGUUGAAAGGGAAACGUUUGAAGUCAGACGUGCGUUGUGCGAUUCAGCUCCGGUUCGCCGGAGUGUAUUUCGUACUAUUGCAGGCCAGCAUCGGUUUGGCGAGCCGGAUAAAGGUUAGAGAAAGGUAGCGGUUCAGGCCGUGUUAUAGUCUUUAACUGAAUACGGAUUGCUAGACCGAGGGACGCAGUGCGCCGUAAGGCAAAGCUUUCGGGCUUUUCGCGCUUAGGAUGCUGGUGAAAUGGCUUUAAAUGACCCGUCUUGAAACACGGACCA
Molecule: ribosomal RNA, 598 nt
Filed under: uncultured Sporobolomyces
Lineage: Eukaryota; Fungi; Basidiomycota
Description: LSU rRNA
Rfam family: Eukaryotic large subunit ribosomal RNA
Source: RNAcentral